Ornithorhynchus anatinus (platypus) is the source of this 1100-nucleotide long non-coding RNA. RefSeq lists it as uncharacterized. The transcript has 3 exons. The record is from RefSeq and is a predicted model, not a curated record. NCBI's taxonomy places the organism in Eukaryota, Metazoa, Chordata, Mammalia, Monotremata, Ornithorhynchidae.
GUCCAUACCCUCAUUUCUCAGCUCUACAAACUGAGGCCUAAAGAGUUCAAGGACUAGUCUAAAGACUAGGAGUGAGCCAAGAUUGGAAUGGAGCAUUCUUCACUUCGUAGCUGCUACUCUGACCACUGGAUUCGAAACUGCUCUGACUCCUUUUCUUCUAGAAUAAAGCACAGGAAUCUAAAUGUCACUCAGACUGACAGCCCCGGACCUGUCUGUCCCCUUGAGCCGGGGCAGUAGACAACAGCAGCGGCAAAGCCUGCUCUCACCCAGGAAGCCCCCAUCUCCACCUUGGACCUGAGCUCCGGAAUAAAAAAUUCCCGGAAAGGGAGAGGUCAGUCAUCCAAUGAAAAAAUAGCAACUGAAGCAAAGGGCUAAAGUAGGGGAAAGCUGGACUUUGGGUGAAGACCUUCGGUGGCAUGGGGAAGAGGGAGUAUUUGUUGAAAGAGAAUGAGCAGGAAGUGGUUCUUGGAGAGGAGCUGAGGGGCGUGGGAAGCCUACAGCCAACUGGGAGUGGCUUUGGAGAAGGGGAGGAGGAGGAAGAGUUCUCUGCAAUUCUCAGUCACUCAGACAAAUUGCAGAAGCCCAGAGAGGAGAGCUGAGAACCUGAGCCCAUGUCAGAGAGGGAAAACUUUCUACUCAGCCCUGACAAGUUCCAAAACGUUUCCUCCAUCUCUGCCCUCACCCUCCUCCCCCAGCCUGUGCGAUAGGGUCAUUUUUAGAACUCAGCCUAGCCUGGAAGAAACAGAGAGGCUGUAGACCUAAGGAAAUGAAUAUAAAAGUGAAAAAUACAACCUAAAAUACUAUUCUUUCAAUGUUCAGGUGUUCAAUGGGCUCUGAUGCAUCGUUGCUAUACACGGGUUAUUUUUGCUAUACAGGUUAUUUUUCUAAUAAUGGCCUCUCAUUUGUUAUAGUAUUUAUUAAGCAUUUUACUGUGUUUAACUCCUGGGGUAAUCAUAUCAGUCACAUGAGGCUGACAGUCUGAAAGGUAAGGUGAGCAAAUGUCUUCUGCCUAUUUUACAGACCAAGUAGACUGAGGCCCAGAGAGGUUAAGUGACUUGCCCAAGGUCAUACAUUAAACCAGUGGCACAAGAGCAAUUAGA